GUUAGAAGAAUUAAACAAGUUUUGCAAGAUCAGAAGUGCAUAGAAGUCAGCAUCAGUAGAAAAGCCAAACCUGAAGAAGCAACUGAAACAGAGGAAGCUGAAACAGAGGAAGGUCGUGAGUUGGCAAUCCAAUUGAACUAAUGAGCUGGCGAUCCGUGACAACAGGAGCUGAUCCAUGAGCUGGCAAUCCGUGGCAACAGGAGCUGGUGAUCCAUGAGAGUAAAACCUGAAUCACAGAAGCAGGUCAAGCGAAUCAAAAAGAAGCUACACAGUCAGAAGAAAUACACGUGUAUUGCUUAUCUUCUGUUGUAACAAUUUUAUAACAGAAAACAGUUGAGCUAGUGAUUAAGUAUAAAAGGAAAAGAGAGAACGAGAGAGAGGUGUGGGAGUUCAUUGUUAGUUCUGAGUUGCUAAGCUCUUCCUGUUCUUCAUCAGAAGCUUUUUCUUCGUUCUCUGUAUCUGGAAUUGAUGAAAGAUUGUGUAAAGAAUGAACUCGAAGUUCUGGAGAAGAAAUAUAACAGAAGUCUGAGGUAUUUUCAUUGAUUGUUCGAAGAUCUUAUUCUGUAUUCGAUUUCUU
This 577-nucleotide long non-coding RNA is filed under the name Eucalyptus grandis. Its description in RNAcentral is "long non-coding RNA (EGRA_LNC006980)". Lineage: Eukaryota; Viridiplantae; Streptophyta; Magnoliopsida; Myrtales; Myrtaceae. The record is from RNAcentral.